AUGCUUCCGCAGCACAUAUACUGAAGUUGGAACAAUACAGAGAAGAUGGCCCCUUGCAAAGGAUGACAUGCAAAUAUGUGAAGCAUUCCAUAUUUUG
Molecule: non-coding RNA, 97 nt
Organism: Canis lupus familiaris (dog)
Lineage: Eukaryota; Metazoa; Chordata; Mammalia; Carnivora; Canidae
Source: Rfam